UCCAGAAGGAAGAAGUGGUCAACAGUAUCAAAUGCAGCAGAGAAUUUGAGAAAAGGAUUUGGUACUGGAGAGAUCACUGGUACAUUCACCUGUGGAAGGCUUCGGGGAGGCCAUGGCAACCACAAUCACCCAGGCUGAAAAGCCUUCAGUGGAUUACAGUUUAUGCUGAUGGAAGAGGGCAUAGCCCCUGGAGGAGGUCACAGAAUUAUGGAUAUACCUUAAGGAUAUUCAAAUAAAGGUGACAGACAAGAGAACGUCUCUGACAACAACUCUGACAGACUGUACUGAAGUUAAAUCAAUCCAGGGCACAAUCCAGGGAUCCAGGUGAAAGAGAGGUUCUCUGGACACUCAUCCCAUCAUGGCUGUGGUGAUAUCAAUGGCCUGAGGCAUCUACAAAGGAAAGUGAUAAUCACCCAAUGUAGAAUCUAAAGGACAACUACCCCGGAAAGUUUUUCUUUCAACUCUAAUUGGACUGGUGGCAUUGCUGGGAAAAGAUAAUCAAUACUAUUACCAAUUUCUUAAGAUCUCCUGCAUGCUCCAGUGACCGCCCUCCUACUGACUUCCAGCAAGUUGGGCAGGGGAGAGGGGGAGGGAUUGGAAAUUAGUGAAUCAGUAAUUCAAAAGAAAUCAGUCUGUCGUUAUAUGAUCUUAUUGUAAGCUCUAGCCCCAAACAAUAAAAACAAACUGAAAUCAUCUGGGUCGAAAGGGAAAAAGAUAAUGCAGUUUUAAAGUCUCCCAUUUUUAAGAUUCAAACCCAAGAGACUUUUAGCAUUUUCAGUUCACCAAUACAAUCACCUCCUUUCCCCAUUAAAAUCUCCCUCAAACAUACAACACCAUGAUGGGCUACUCAGAAAUGGAGAUGGUCAUAUGGGAAGAACUCUCUUUCCCUUGCAUUCUCCAGCCUCCAUAGUCCCCUAUUCAGAGUGAGGACAAGAAAAAGAGAAAGUCUACGAGUAGGUUAUUGGCUACUCUGGAUCCUUAUUUACUAGACAUUA
Molecule: non-coding RNA, 995 nt
Organism: Phascolarctos cinereus (koala)
Lineage: Eukaryota; Metazoa; Chordata; Mammalia; Diprotodontia; Phascolarctidae
Source: RefSeq, a predicted model, not a curated record